GAUGAACGCUAGCGAUAGGCUUAACACAUGCAAGUCGAGGGGCAGCAUGGUCUUAGCUUGCUAAGGCUGAUGGCGACCGGCGCACGGGUGCGUAACGCGUAUGCAACUUGCCUCACAGAGGGGGAUAACCCGUCGAAAGACGGACUAAUACCGCGUACACUCUAUGUUGGGCAUCCAAUGUAGAGGAAAUGAAAUUCGCUGUGAGAUAGGCAUGCGUCCCAUUAGCUAGUUGGUGAGGUAACGGCUCACCAAGGCGACGAUGGGGAGGGGAACUGAGAGGUUGAACCCCCACACUGGUACUGAGACACGGACCAGACUCCUACGGGAGGCAGCAGUGAGGAAUGUUGGGCAAUGGGCGAGAGCCUGAACCAGCCAAGUCGCGUGAAGGAUGACUGUCUUAUGGAUUGUAAACUUCUUUUAUACGGGAAUAACAAGAGUCACGUGUGGCUCCCUGCAUGUACCGUAUGAAUAAGCAUCGGCUAACUCCGUG
Molecule: ribosomal RNA, 490 nt
Filed under: uncultured bacterium
Lineage: Bacteria
Description: partial 16S ribosomal RNA
Rfam family: Bacterial small subunit ribosomal RNA
Source: RNAcentral